This 344-nucleotide unclassified non-coding RNA is filed under the name soil metagenome. Its description in RNAcentral is "partial contains 5.8S ribosomal RNA, internal transcribed spacer 2, and large subunit ribosomal RNA". The stretch from base 4 to 119 matches the Rfam family "5.8S ribosomal RNA", at positions 39 to 154 of the family's 154-position model. The record is from RNAcentral.
GAUAAGAACGUAGCGAAAUGCGAUAAGUAAUGUGAAUUGCAGAAUUCAGUGAAUCAUCGAAUCUUUGAACGCACAUUGCGCCCGCCAGUAUUCUGGCGGGCAUGCCUGUCCGAGCGUCAUUUCAACCCUCAAGCCCCCGGGCUUGGUGUUGGAGAUCGGCGAGCCCCCCGGGGCGCGCCGUCUCCCAAAUAUAGUGGCGGUCCCGCUGUAGCUUCCUCUGCGUAGUAGCACACCUCGCACUGGGAAACAGCGUGGCCACGCCGUAAAACCCCCCACUUCUGAAAGGUUGACCUCGGAUCAGGUAGGAAUACCCGCUGAACUUAAGCAUAUCAAUAAGCGGAGGA